Camelus ferus (Wild Bactrian camel) is the source of this 73-nucleotide non-coding RNA. The record is from Rfam. Lineage: Eukaryota; Metazoa; Chordata; Mammalia; Artiodactyla; Camelidae.
GGAGCGUAGAGCUCAGUGGUAGAGUGUAUCCUUAGCCUGCAUAAGGUCCUGGGUUCAAUCCCCAGUACCUCCA